This 220-nucleotide ribosomal RNA is filed under the name Solibacillus kalamii. RNAcentral describes it as "partial 16S ribosomal RNA". It matches the Rfam family "Bacterial small subunit ribosomal RNA", at positions 1 to 210 of the family's 1533-position model. Lineage: Bacteria; Bacillati; Bacillota; Bacilli; Caryophanales; Caryophanaceae. The record is from RNAcentral.
UUUUAUGGAGAGUUUGAUCCUGGCUCAGGACGAACGCUGGCGGCGUGCCUAAUACAUGCAAGUCGAGCGGRAAUUUUAUUGGUGCUUGCACCUUUAAAAUUUUAGCGGCGGACGGGUGAGUAACACGUGGGUAACCUACCUUAUAGAUUGGGAUAACUCCGGGAAACCGGGGCUAAUACCGAAUAAUACUUUUUAACACAUGUUUGAAAGUUGAAAGACG